This is a long non-coding RNA of Oncorhynchus mykiss (rainbow trout), 1133 nucleotides long. RefSeq lists it as uncharacterized. The record is from RefSeq and is a predicted model, not a curated record. Lineage: Eukaryota; Metazoa; Chordata; Actinopteri; Salmoniformes; Salmonidae.
CUUUAAUAUUUAAUCCUGCUUAGCCAAACACAAAACGUAUAAUUCACAUUCAGAUUGGUUACGAAUUCUCACGUUUAAGUGCUGAAGUACUUGAAAAGGAGUAAACGUUCAUUUUUUUUUUUUUUUGCAGAAGUUUCUGUUUUUCAUACUUGCAGACGUUUUCAUCGAUUCUCCAUAGCUGAAGAGACUAAGGAUUUAAAAAAAAAAUUUUUUUUUACACCUGCACUUCGCUGCAAAGUCGUAGUUUUGUCGCAGCCCUCAUUAAAACACGAAAGGUGAAGAGUUCUACAAGGUGGCCAUCUGAGGUUAGACACUGUGCUGCUCUGUCAGAGACCACAAAAUGCCAACAAGUGAAGUUGAGCCAAUUUCCUCCAUUUCAACUUGAGAAGCACCCAGGGAGAGGAUGACAUCACUGCGGUGGCCGGUAGAAUGCAGACUAAGGCGGCUGUGGACUCGGGCGGCUGCAGAUACAGAGGACCACAGCAUGGGGGAUCUUACUCCCACGGUGAAGGAAGAGAACAUUAGAUUAAAAUCAUCCAGGAAUAAUGACUGUCUGUCAUCAAGAUGUUGCUCAAACUUUUAAUUAAAAGCAGAAAUAGUAACUCUUUAUAUGGCCAGUAUAACACUUAGUUUGAGAGGAAAGAGAAAGGAAAGGGAAAGGGGGAUACCUAGUCAGUUGUAUAACUGAAUGCAUUCAUUUGAAAUGUCUUCCACAUUUAACCAGACAGAGAAUGCUACCCAAAUGUCACCUUUUUGCCUUUAUAGGGCACUAGGGUAUAGGGUGCCAUUUUGAACGCAAUAGAUUGUAGAGAAGACAGGAGAAGAUAGGAGAAGACUGCCUUUAAUGAUCUUCAACAAAUUUGUCACCAUUAGCUAACUCUUCCAAACAAAAUGCGUUUGCAUUUCAUAAAUAUAAUAUAUACCACUUAGCCGGCUCUUUUAUCCUAACGUCACUUUUUUUGAGUGGAAACAGCGCUGUUGUAAAAAAGGCCAUUUUUUAUGUUGCACUACAAUCUCCUUCUGGAUCCUGUGUGUACUGCCUCUGCCUCUCUCUCUCUCUCUCUCUCUCUCUGAUUUAACAGCAUGUGUUAUGAGAAUAAAAGUUUUCACGUGUUCUGAAAAUAAACAUUUUG